This 167-nucleotide ribosomal RNA is filed under the name uncultured rumen bacterium. RNAcentral describes it as "partial 16S ribosomal RNA". It matches the Rfam family "Bacterial small subunit ribosomal RNA", at positions 340 to 524 of the family's 1533-position model. The record is from RNAcentral.
UACGGGAGGCAGCAGUGGGGAAUAUUGCACAAUGGGGGGAACCCUGAUGCAGCAACGCCGCGUGAGUGAAGAAGUAUUUCGGUAUGUAAAGCUCUAUCAGCAGGGAAGAGAUUGACGGUACCUGACUAAGAAGCCCCGGCUAACUACGUGCCAGCAGCCGCGGUAAU